Molecule: ribosomal RNA, 274 nt
Filed under: uncultured bacterium
Lineage: Bacteria
Description: partial 16S ribosomal RNA
Rfam family: Bacterial small subunit ribosomal RNA
Source: RNAcentral
AUACGGAGGGUGCAAGCGUUAUUCGGAAUCACUGGGCGUAAAGGACACGUAGGCGGGAAGCCAAGUCUGAUGUGAAAUCCUACAGCUUAACUGUAGAACUGCAUUGGAAACUGGUUACCUAGAGUAUGGGAGGGGGAGAUGGAAUUAGUGGUGUAGGGGUAAAAUCCGUAGAUAUCACUAGGAAUACCUAAAGCGAAGGCGAUCUCCUGGAACAUUACUGACGCUAAGGUGUGAAAGCGUGGGGAGCAAACGGGAUUAGAAACCCCAGUAGUCC